CAAUAGCGUAUAUUAAAGCUGUUGCGGUUAAAAAGCUCGUAGUUGGAUUUCUGUCAAGGACAACUGGUCCGCCCUUCGGGUGAGCACAUAGUUUGGUCUUGGCAUCUUGCUGGAAACUGUUGCUGCGCUUGGUUGUGUGGUGCAGCUUUCAGCACUUUCACUUUGAGGAAAUUGGAGUGUUUCAAGCAGGCACAUGCCUUUGGACACAGUAGCAUGGAAUAAUUAGAUUGGGCUUUUGCUCCAACUUGUUGGUUCCUGGAGCUGAGGUGAGAAUCAAUGGGGAUUGUUGGGGGCAUCCGAAUUUAGCCGUCAGAGGUGAAAUUCUUGGAUCUGCUAAAGACGGACAACUGCGAAAGCGUUUGCCCAGGAUGUUUUCAUUGA
RNAcentral lists this ribosomal RNA (381 nucleotides) under uncultured eukaryote. Its description in RNAcentral is "partial 18S ribosomal RNA". It matches the Rfam family "Eukaryotic small subunit ribosomal RNA", at positions 592 to 976 of the family's 1831-position model. The record is from RNAcentral.